Molecule: ribosomal RNA, 496 nt
Filed under: uncultured bacterium
Lineage: Bacteria
Description: partial 16S ribosomal RNA
Rfam family: Bacterial small subunit ribosomal RNA
Source: RNAcentral
AUGAACGCUGGCGGCGUGCCUAAUACAUGCAAGUCGAGCGAACGGACGAGAAGCUUGCUUCUCUGAUGUUAGCGGCGGACGGGUGAGUAACACGUGGAUAACCUACCUAUAAGACUGGGAUAACUUCGGGAAACCGUAGCUAAUACCGGAUAAUAUUUUGAACCGCAUGGUUCAAAAGUGAAAGACGGUCUUGCUGUCACUUAUAGAUGGAUCCGCGCUGCAUUAGCUAGUUGGUAAGGUAACGGCUUACCAAGGCAACGAUGCAUAGCCGACCUGAGAGGGGGAGGGCCACCACGGGAACGGGAACCGGGCCCAGACUCCAGCGGGAGGAAGAAGUAGGAAUUCUUCCGCAGGGGGGGAAGCCGUGAGGGAACACCGCGGGGGGAGUGAUAAGGGUCUUGGGUCGGAAAAACUUUUUUAUUGGGAAAAAAAAUAUGGGAAAGUAAUUGCGCACUUCUGGAGGGACCCAAACCAGAAAGCCACGCCAACCUACGGC